RNAcentral lists this ribosomal RNA (301 nucleotides) under uncultured bacterium. RNAcentral's name for it is "partial 16S ribosomal RNA". It matches the Rfam family "Bacterial small subunit ribosomal RNA", at positions 510 to 808 of the family's 1533-position model. The record is from RNAcentral.
AGCCGCCGCGGUGAUACGUAGGUGGCAAGCGUUGUCCGGAAUUAUUGGGCGUAAAGGGCUCGCAGGCGGUUUCUUAAGUCUGAUGUGAAAGCCCCCGGCUCAACCGGGGAGGGUCAUUGGAAACUGGGAAACUUGAGUGCAGAAGAGGAGAGUGGAAUUCCACGUGUAGCGGUGAAAUGCGUAGAGAUGUGGAGGAACACCAGUGGCGAAGGCGACUCUCUGGUCUGUAACUGACGCUGAGGAGCGAAAGCGUGGGGAGCGAACAGGAUUAGAUACCCCUGUAGUCCCUGUCUCUUAUACA